UACCUCAGUAACGGCGAGUGAAGCGGUAACAGCUCAAAUUUGAAAUCUAGCGCUUUCAGCGUUCGAGUUGUAAUUUGUAGAAGAUGCUUUGGGUGUGGCUCCGGUCUAAGUUCCUUGGAACAGGACGUCAUAGAGGGUGAGAAUCCCGUAUGUGACUGGCUGCCUUCGCCUAUGUAAAGCUCUUUCGACGAGUCGAGUUGUUUGGGAAUGCAGCUCUAAAUGGGAGGUAUAUUUCUUCUAAAGCUAAAUAUUGGCCAGAGACCGAUAGCGCACAAGUAGAGUGAUCGAAAGAUGAAAAGCACUUUGGAAAGAGAGUUAAACAGUACGUGAAAUUGUUGAAAGGGAAGCGCUUGCAACCAGACUUGCCUGCCGUUGAUCAUCCUCCCUUCUGGGUGGUGCACUCAGCGGUGGUCAGGCCAGCAUCGGUUUUGGUGGUGGGAUAAAGGCCUUGGGAACGUAGCUCCUCUCGGGGAGUGUUAUAGCCCUCGGUGCAAUGCCGCCUACCGGGACCGAGGACCGCGCUUCGGCUAGGAUGCUGGCGUAAUGGUUGUAAGCGACCCGUCUUGAAACACGGACCAAGGAGUCUAACAUCUAUGCGAGUGUUUGGGUGUUAAACCCAUACGCGUAAUUAACGUGAACGGAGGUGAGAACCCUUUAGGGUGCAUCAUCGACCGAUCCUGAUGUCUUCGGAUGGAUUUGAGUAAGAGCAUAGCUGUUGGGACCCGAAAGAUGGUGAACUAUGCCUAAAUAGGGUGAAGCCAGAGGAAACUCUGGUGGAGGCUCGCAGCGGUUCUGACGUGCAAAUCGAUCGUCAAAUUUGGGUAUAGGGGCGAAAGACUAAUCGAACCAUUAACUACUAGGUGGUUAAGACUUAUACAGAAGUGUGUAAGUAGUCCGUAGCGGGCAACACUGUCAAAUUGCGGGGACCUCCUGUCACAGUACUACUACCGCAGCCAUGGCGAAAGCUAUAGUGCGCACCAGGUUAAUGGCCUUGGGGAUGGUAAUAACGUAGUACUAGGGACAACCUGCAGCCAAACCCUAACCACGGGUGCAGUUCACAGACUAAAUGUCAGUGGGGUAUGCUUACAGCAUACUUUAAGUUAUAGUCGAUCCUCUGUAGUAAUACA
This 1127-nucleotide ribosomal RNA is filed under the name Hymenoscyphus caudatus. RNAcentral describes it as "LSU rRNA". It matches the Rfam family "Eukaryotic large subunit ribosomal RNA", at positions 76 to 1148 of the family's 3401-position model. Lineage: Eukaryota; Fungi; Ascomycota; Leotiomycetes; Helotiales; Helotiaceae. The record is from RNAcentral.